Molecule: transfer RNA, 75 nt
Filed under: Alosa alosa (allis shad)
Lineage: Eukaryota; Metazoa; Chordata; Actinopteri; Clupeiformes; Clupeidae
Description: tRNA-OTHER
Source: RNAcentral
GCAGCCGUAGCCUACUGGUUAGGGCUUCGGGCUUGUAAACAAAGGGUUGCCGGUUCGAUCCCCGACCCAGUGGGA